This 761-nucleotide ribosomal RNA is filed under the name uncultured archaeon. Its description in RNAcentral is "bacterial SSU rRNA". It matches the Rfam family "Archaeal small subunit ribosomal RNA", at positions 38 to 832 of the family's 1478-position model. The record is from RNAcentral.
AGCAUGUCUAGCAUGCGAGUCAUUGUAGCAUACAAGGCAUACGGCUCAGUAACGCGUAGUCAACCUAACCUAUGGACGGGAAUAACCUCGGGAAACUGAGAAUAAUGCCCGAUAGAACACUAUACCUGGAAUGGUUUGUGUUCCAAAUGAUUUAUCGCCAUAGGAUGGGACUGCGGCCUAUCAGUUUGUUGGUGAGGUAAUGGCCCACCAAGACUAUUACAGGUACGGGCUCUGAGAGGAGUAGCCCGGAGAUGGGUACUGAGACACGGACCCAGGCCCUAUGGGGCGCAGCAGGCGAGAAAACUUUGCAAUGUGCGAAAGCACGACAAGGUUAAUCCGAGUGAUUUGUGCUAAACGAAUCUUUUGUUAGUCCUAGAAACACUAACGAAUAAGGGGUGGGCAAGUUCUGGUGUCAGCCGCCGCGGUAAAACCAGCACCUCAAGUGGUCAGGAUGAUUAUUGGGCCUAAAGCAUCCGUAGCCGGCUCUGUAAGUUUUCGGUUAAAUCUGUACGCUUAACGUACAGGCUGCCGGGAAUACUGCAAAGCUAGGGAGUGCGAGAGGUAGACGGUACUCGGUAGGAAGUGGUAAAAUGCUUUGAUCUAUCGAUGACCACCUGUGGCGAAAGGCGGUCUACCAGAACACGUCCGACGGUGAGGGAUGAAGCUGGGGGGAGCAACCCGGAUUAGAUACCCCGGGUUAGUCCAGCUGUAACUAUGCAACUCAGUGAAUGCAAUCACUGUGCCAUGCAGUGCUGCCAGGG